This 253-nucleotide ribosomal RNA is filed under the name uncultured bacterium. RNAcentral describes it as "partial 16S ribosomal RNA". It matches the Rfam family "Bacterial small subunit ribosomal RNA", at positions 524 to 776 of the family's 1533-position model. The record is from RNAcentral.
UACAGAGGGUGCGAGCGUUGUUCGGAAUUAUUGGGCGUAAAGAGCUCGUAGGCGGCUUGUCACGUCGGGUGUGAAAGCCCGGGGCUUAACCCCGGGUCUGCAUUCGAUACGGGCUAGCUAGAGUGUGGUAGGGGAGAUCGGAAUUCCUGGUGUAGCGGUGAAAUGCGCAGAUAUCAGGAGGAACACCGAUGGCGAAGGCAGGUCUCUGGGCCACUACUGACGCUGAGACGCGAAAGCGUGGGGAGCGAACAGG